CCUUUGGUGAUGAACAGCAAUGUGGAAUUGU
Molecule: non-coding RNA, 31 nt
Filed under: Rattus norvegicus (Norway rat)
Lineage: Eukaryota; Metazoa; Chordata; Mammalia; Rodentia; Muridae
Source: RNAcentral